AUAGAGAACGUCGUCUAAAAACGUACGACACGACAUUCGUAUAUAUACCAAUAGAUGUAACGGAAUUUAAUGGUUGGUUCUGAAAUCACUCUUAUUGGGAGUUUGUUUGUUUUGUUUGUUUUUUGUUUUCGACGACUCAUUGGCACAUGUGGAACAGAAUCUGAUCAACUGUUCAAAGUACCAUAGACUGCCGGAAGGGGUUCAUGUAGUUCAGUCUUUCAACUUCGAUGUUUUGUAAACUGUUGUUUGUAUUAUUUAUCAUUUUCUUUUCUCUUCUUAUUGCUAAUGCGUAGUCAAUUAACUAUUUAUAGGUUUGAAUACACUUUGGUAUCUUUAAAUUAUCUUUUAACCAGUUUGUAGUAAGAUAUGCGAAAGUUAUGAAACCAAAAUAAAAAAAAUCUCUCA
This 405-nucleotide long non-coding RNA is filed under the name Mytilus galloprovincialis (Mediterranean mussel). The record is from RNAcentral. Lineage: Eukaryota; Metazoa; Mollusca; Bivalvia; Mytilida; Mytilidae.